This 45-nucleotide non-coding RNA is filed under the name Schistosoma mattheei. Lineage: Eukaryota; Metazoa; Platyhelminthes; Trematoda; Strigeidida; Schistosomatidae. The record is from RNAcentral.
AUCUAGCUGAGGAGUCCCAAAAAGGACGAAACGCGCGUCAUGGAU